Molecule: ribosomal RNA, 141 nt
Filed under: uncultured eukaryote
Lineage: Eukaryota
Description: partial 18S ribosomal RNA
Rfam family: Eukaryotic small subunit ribosomal RNA
Source: RNAcentral
UGGUGGAGUGAUUUGUCUGGUUAAUUCCGUUAACGAACGAGACCUCGACCUACUAAAUAGUUGACUAAACUCUUCGGGGUUUGGAUUGACUUCUUAGAGGGACUUUUGGUGAGUAGCCAAAGGAAGUUCGAGGCAAUAACA